CGCCUAAUUCCCCACCGAUUUUUUAAAUGAUUUUCCCCAAAUCGCAGCGGGCUUCCACCGCCGAACGCCUAGGCGGCCGCCUUGAGCGUUUUUUAGAAAACUGAUAUAAAGUCAAGACCCUAGCGCUACUCCCUCUCUCCCAAAGUCAAGAUCUCCCAAACCCAAUUUUACAUGCAUCAACGGGCCCUUUCUCUUGGGUGGAGUCGAUGGCAACCCCCCUUCUUAAUCCUUUCUUCUUUUUCCUUAACCUCCAUCUUCCUUUUAUUUUUCUUUGGCCCUAGAUUUCUAGUAGUUUUGCUUUUAAUUUGUCUCAUUUUUCUUGAUUUUUUUGUCUCAAUUUCCUUGAGUUUUGUCUCAAUUAUUGGCAAACCUUGUCACAAAUCAAAGUUCCAUGCCUUUUUCUUUCCAAAUUGUUGUUCCUAGCCACGAGCUAUUGCCCACUUGGUUCCGCUAUUCGGCUUCUUGAAUUCCUCCUCCAGGGACUUCGGUUGGAGCCGUGAUUUGGGUUUCAGUGGCUACUAAAGUGCAAUUUGCACCAUUUUGUAGGAUUAUGGAGCAUUUUUUUAGUGCAAGUGGCUUGUCCAUCCUUAUUUUCUGUUCAUCCUUUUGGUUCGUUAGCUCUUCUUCUUGCCUUCUUGGUUUUGGCAACUUGGCGAUGUCAGUGUGGCUAUUUUGGUGGAGUAGACUGGUUCUCGUUUCCCAUUCUAGGGUUUUUGACUUGGCAAUGUUAUGAGCUCACUUUUGGGGCUUAUUUUCUUAUUUUACUUUUGUAAUGAGAUGUACUCUUACUUUAGUGUUGUGGAUUGUUUUCGGACUUGUCUCACUUUUUAUUAGUGUGUUUUAUUUUUAAUGAAAUUAGUUGGUGGACAAAAUAUAUACAUAAAUAUUUGUGAUGGGCCAUCAUCAAGAUUAAUGUUAGGGUAAUGCUAAGGAAACUAAAUUUGUAAACAAAAUUUUAAAAACUAAAGGACAUGGAAGUUGAUGAUUAGUUUAUUACUUAAGCAUUGAUAAACGUGUUCAUUCAUAUUGGUGACACAUCAUUUAGUUUGCAAAUUUAGUCUCCAAAUUUAGUCUCCCUAGCAUUACCCUGGAUGUAACAUCCCACAUCGCCCAAGGGAGUGAUCGUGUAAACCUUAUAGUCGUGUAGGCUUGGCAAACGGGUCGUGUAUGUCGUGUUCGUGUCGUUUUUGUGUAACACAUGUUAUCUUAACGGGUCGUGUCGUGUCACACCUGUUAUCUUAACGGGUCAUUAACAGGUCAAGUCACUUUACCCAACCCGACCCGUUAAGAAAAAUAUAAAUUUUCUUAAAUUUGCACAUACCACACAUUACCAUAUAAAUAUUACUUCAAAACAUUAAAACAUAUUUGUCAUUUAAGUACUACAUCUACACUCGAAAAUAAGAGCCUAAUAAAAAAACAAGUUUGACGGUUGUGAUCUCGAAGCAUAUACAAACAAGUUUGUGAUUUUUGGCAUAUGUGAUUUCAAAGCAUAUACAAACAAGUUUGACCGUUGGAUCGUUGAAAUUAGUUUCAUAGAAUUCGUAUCCCAUCAAAACGAUAGAUUCAUUAACACUUAAAGUUUAUUUAUACUUUCAUUAAGUAUAACAUAAGAUUUUGUGGUAUCCAUUUGUGUAAAUAUUUUAAAUUGACGAUCAAAUUCAUUCAUUGUAUUCGUAUAGGGUCAAGGAGUGUAGUUGUAAAAAAAUCAUCAAAAUUGGAGUUAAAAUAACCGUUAAAUCGUGAUUUUUUGUUUUAUAACCGUCGAAAAGUUUUGUCUAAUUACUUGAUCUCUGAAUGUUUGUUUUUUGUGAUUUUUGGCAUAUGCGAUCUCGAAGCAUAUACAAACAAGUUUGACGGUUGGAUUGUUAAAAUUAGUUUAAUAGAAUUCGUAUCCCAUCAAAACGGUAGAUUCACUAACACUUGAGUUUAUUUAUACUUUCAUUAAGUAUAACAUAAGAUUUUGUGGUAUCCACUUGUGUAAAUAUUAUAAAUUGACGAUCAAAUUUAUUCAUUGUAUUCGUAUAGGGUCAAUGAGUGUAGUUGUAAAAAAUCAUCAAAAUCGGAGUUAAAAUAACAAUUAAAUCGUGAUUUUUUGUUUUAUAACCGUCGAAAAGUUUUGUCUAAUUACUUGAUCUCUGAAUGUUUGUUUUUGUGAUUUUUGGCGUAUACGAUCUCGAAGCAUAUACAAACAAGUUUGACGGUUGGAUCGUUGAAAUUAGUUUCAUAGAAUUCGUAUCCCAUCAAACCAAUAGAUUCACUAACACUUAGAGUUUAUUUAUACUUUUAUUAAGUAUAACAUAAGAUUUUGUGGUAUCCACUUGUGUAAAUAUUAUAAAUUGACGAUCAAAUUCAUUCAAGUUGUAAAAAACCAUCACAAUCGGAGUUAAAAUAACCAUUAAAUCGUGAUUUUUUGUUUUAUAACCAUCGAAAAGUUUUGUCUCAUUACUUGAUCUCUAAAUGUUUGUUUUUUGUGAUUUUUGAUAUAUGCGAUCUCGAAGCAUAUACAAACAAGUUUGACGGUUGGAUCAUGAAUUCGUAUCCCAUCAAAACGAUAAAUUCACUAACACUUAGAGUUUAUUUAUACUUUCAUUAAGUAUAACAUAAGAUUUUGUGGCAUCCACUAGUGUAAAUAUUUUAAAUUGAAAAUCGAAUUCAUUCAUUGUAUUCAUAUAGGGUCAAUGAGUGUAGUUGUAAAAAAUCAUCAAAAUCGGAGUUAAAAUAACCGUUAAAUCGUGAUUUUUUGUUUUAUAACCGUCGAAAAGUUUUGUCUCAUUACUUGAUCUCUGAAUGUUUGUUUUUUGUGAUUUUUGGCGUAUGCGGUCUCGAAACAUAUAGAAACAAGUUUGACGGUUGGAUCGUUGAAAUUAGUUUCAUAGAAUUCGUAUCCCAUCAAAACGAUAGAUUCACUAACACUUAGAGUUUAUUUAUACUUUCAUUAAGUAUAAUAUAAGAUUUUGUAGUAUCCACUAGUGUAAAUAUUUUAAAUUGAAAAUCGAAUUCAUUCAUUGUAUUCAUACAGGGUCAAGGAUUGUAGUUGUAAAAAAUCAUCAAAAUCGGAGUUAAAAUAACAAUUAAAUCGUGAUUUUUUGUUUUAUAACCGUCGAAAAGUUUUGUCUCAUUACUUGAUCUCUGAAUGUUUGUUUUUUGUGAUUUUUGGCGUAUGCGAUCUCGAAGCAUAUACAAACAAGUUUGACGGUUGGAUCGUUGAAAUUAGUUUCAUAGAAUUCGUGUCCCAUCAAAACGAUAUUCACUAACACUUAGAGUUUAUUUAUACUUUCAUUAAGUUUAAUAUACGAUUUUGUGGUAUCCACUAGUGUAAAUAUUUUAAAUUGAAAAUCAAAUUCAUUCAUUGUAUUCAUAUAGGGUCAAGGAGUGUAGUUGUAAAAAAUCAUCAAAAUCGGAGUUAAAAUAACCGUUAAAUCGUGAUUUUUUGUUUUAUAAACGUAAAAAAGUUUUGCCUCAUUACUUGAUCUCUGAAUGUUUUUUUUUUGUUAUUUUUGACUUAUGCGAUCUCGAAGCAUAUACAAACAAGUUUGACGGAUGGAUCGUUGAAAUUAGUUUCAUAGAAUUCAUAUCCCAUCAAAACGAUAGAUUCACUAACACUUAGAGUUUAUUUAUACUUUCACUAAGUAUAACAUAAGAUUUUGUGGUAUCCACUAGUGUAAAUAUUUUAAAUUGAAAAUCGAAUUAAUUCAUUGUAUUCAUAUAGGGUCAAUGAGUGUAGUUGUAAAAAAUCAUCAAAAUCGGAGUUAAAAUAACCGUUAAAUCGUGAUUUUUUGUUUUAUAACCGUCGAAAUUUUUUAUCUCAUUACUUGAUCUCUGAAUGUUUGUUUUUUAUGAUUUUUAGCAUAUGCGAUCUCGAAGCAUAUACAAACAAGUUUGACGGUUGGAUCGUUGAAAUUAGUUUCAUAGAAUUCGUAUCCCAUCAAAACGAUAGAUUCACUAACACUUAGAGUUUAUUUAUACUUUCAUUAAGUAUAACAUAAGAUUUUGUGGUAUCUGUAGACAUCGAAAUUUCGUAAAUAAAUGUUGACCGGUAAAUCAAAGUGUCAACGCUCAUGUAUUACAUAAAUUUUACACGUAGCGUGUGAUUCAACGAAAAUUGAAAUGAGUUGGAAAAGUCAUCAAAUAGGACACGUGUCAACACCUGGCAGAAACGACUUAUUUCAUCUGGAAUAUUAUAUUCAAAAUUAGGCCUUGGAAAUUUCUAUAAAUACAAGCCUAUUUCAUUCAUUGAAGAAAACCAAAAUCAUUAGGCAAAACUCUUGAAGCUCUGAAGCUCUGAAACUCCGAAGCUCUCAAGCAUCCAGGUUCCCGAAGAAUCAAGAAAGCGUUCUUCGUUCAUCGUUCUUCCAAGAUCAAGCCCGACGGCCCUUGGAUCAACAAUCGUCCACCUUCAAGAUCAAGCCCCGACGGCCCUUGAAGAAAGUGUUCUUCGUUCUUCGUUCUUCCAAGAUCAAGCCCCGACGGCCCUUGGAUCAACCAUCCACCAAUUCAAGAUCAAGCCCCGACGGCCCUUUGAAGAAAGCACCAUCGUUCAUCAUCCGUUCAUCCAAGAUCAAGCCCCAACGGCCCAUUUGGAUCAACAACGUCGACAAAUCCACACAUCCAACCGUUCUUCAAGAUCAAGCCCAAAAGCCCUUGAAGAUCUGUUCAUCACUGUUCUUCAAGAUCAAGCCCAAAAAGCCCUUGGAGAUCCGUUUGUCACUGUUCUUCAAAGAUCAAGCCCAAAAGCCCCUUUGAAGAUCCACUCAAAUCCACCUUCAAAGAUCAAGCCCACGGCCCUUUGAAGAAACUUCCAACAGUUCAUCCAAGAUCAAGCACGGCCCUUGGAUCAACGAAACACCCACCAAUCAACACCUUACGGAGAUCGAAUCAGAGGAUCAAAUAGAAGAGAGAUUGUAACCCAAAAUCAUCAAAUACAUAAUAUUUGUUUGUGCACGUCGUUCUUGUCUCUUUCGUUUCAGGAAUUUUCCGUGUUCACAAAUUGGCACGCCCGGUGGGAUCAUCUCUACCUCUCAUCUCUUUCUCCGUUCAAGGAAUCCAAGCACACCUCAAAGUCAAUGGCAUCAAGCAAGGGACAAGCCGUUCUUGCAACCACUGAGGGAAGGAUCCUAAGCACUUCUGCCGCAAACGGACAAUCCAUUGGCGCCACAACCGCUCCUCAACAUGCCACUUCAAAAUUGGUGCCGCUAAAAGAGCAAGGGGAGCAUCCAAGGUGUGAGUAUGUCAUCAACCUGACCUCGCUGGAGGCACCAAAGCAUGAUGUUGGGGCACACAAGAUGACAUCCCAAAGCAGCCAACGACGUUCUUCAUCAGCAUCCUGGAUGUCUAAAGGAAAGUCACGUCUAUUGGUCGCACAAGUCAUGACUAUCGGCGUUACCUCCGUUGAAGAACAACUGGCUCAGAUGAAUGAAGCAAUCGCAAGGCUAACCCGAACUGUGGAAGAAAAAGACUUGCAAAUCGCUGCACUCGUCAGCCGAUUGGAGCCACAGGACGACGAGAACCCUAACCCAGAAGAUGAGCCUCAGGUGGAAAAACGAUGCGAAGCCCGAGCCAGACCAAGCAGCGGCACUCAUAGGAUCUCUUUCUAUCCAGCAGCUGCAAGAGAUGAUCACCAACACCAUCAAGGCACAGUACGAAGGGAGCUCAAAUACCUCCGGGUUGUACUCAAAGCCGUAUUCAAAGAAGAUCGACGCCCUAAGGAUGCCAAGGGGUUAUCAACCACCAAAGUUCAUGCAGUUUGAUGGAAAAGGAAACCCAAAGCAGCACGUUGCACAUUUCGUCGAAACUUGCAACAACGCGGGGACAGAGGGAGGCUACCUCGCCAAGCAGUUUGUGCGCUCGCUGAAAGGAAAUGCCUUUGAGUGGUACACGGACCUAGAGCCCGAGUCCAUCAACAGCUGGGAGCAAUUAGAGCGGGAAUUCCUCAACCGCUUCUACAGCACCCGCCGCACUGUGAGCAUGCUAGAACUAACGAGCACAAAGCAGUGGAAGGACGAGCCAGUCAUUGACUACAUCAACAGAUGGCGCACUCUAAGCCUCGACUGUAAAGACAGGCUCUCGGAAACCUCUUCAAUCGAGAUGUGCAUCCAAGGCAUGCAAUGGGGUUUGCAAUACAUCCUUCAAGGCAUUAAACCGCGGACCUUCGAGGAAUUGGCCACUCGCGCCCAUGACAUGGAGUUGAGCAUCGCCCAUCAUGGGAAGAAAGAACCGAUCGCCGACUACAAGAACGACAAAGUUCUUGGGACAAAGGUGGAAAAGGUUACAUGGAAACCCACCAAGGAAGCGAUGACGGUCAACACAGCUCCCGUCAAAAUCUCCACACGAGGCAAGGCGAUUCAAGCCGAAGGCUUUCGUGAUCAAGAGAUGCGUAGACGCACUUUGAAGGAGCUUGAGGAGAAAACUUAUCCAUUCCCCGACUCUGAUGUGGUUGCCAUGUUAGAAGACUUGCUGGAAAAGAAGGUGAUCGGCUUGCCUGAGUGCAGACGGCCAGAAGAGAUGAAUCGUACCGACAGUCCAAGAUACUGUAAAUUCCACCGCUUCAUCAGUCAUCCGACAGAAAAGUGCUUCGUGCUGAAAGAUCUCAUCAUGAAGCUGGCUCAGAAAGGAAUCAUCGAGCUAGAUCUUGACGAUGUGGUGAAGUCAAACUAUACCACUUUCACUUCUGGCUCUUCAGACUCAAAGUUUUCACCUCAACCGCUGGGGGCAUCCUCCAAGACAAGCAAAGUUGAAGGAUGGACUCAAGUCACUCCUAAGAAAUUGCACAAGAAGCAUACGUCUCAUCCACAUGUCGGCCAAUCGGAAAGGGGGCAAAGCAGCUCUUGUCAACCUUCAAAGCAACAUGAACGUGUUGAAGAUGAUGAAAUUUCGACACAUAGAUCGUCCAUCCCCAUCACGAUGCGCGAUUUCUUGCCCGAAGACUUCUUCAAUCACGUGGUCAAAGCUCCUUGCUAUGAAAAUUGUGAGGAACGCCUCUCCCGGAUUGCUUGACAAAAUUCACUAAGCUCCUUGUCCGCACGAGCCUAAACUGUAGGACACGAGGCUCCUCGCCUGCACGAGCCUAAACUGCAUGGCACAAUGCUCCUGGUCUGCACGAGCAUAAAAGGGCAACACCAACGCUCAUGGUCUGCACGAGCAUAAAAGGCAACACCAACGCUCCUUGCCUGCACGAGCUGAAACUGCAACACGGCACCAAAUGCUCCUUGUUCGCACGAACCAAGGCUCCUCGCCUGCACAAGCCUAAACUGCACGGCACUAUGCUCCUUGUUCGCACGAGCCUAAACUGCACGAACCAAAGCUCUUUGUCCGCACGAGCCUAAACUGUAGGACACAACACACUCCUUGCCUGCAUGAGUUAAAACUGCAAAACGGCACAAAAAGAAAAUACCAAAAAAUAUGUAUGUAUUUGAACUACGUUACGACUUGAUCUCUUCUUUGGAGGGGUACGUAGGCAGCUCGAAUGUUCAAUUUUUUUUCGAGUUCAGUCACAUCAAAAUCAAAAGAAUAAAUGUUUUAUUAAAGAAGGUCGAUUUCAUUACAAAUUUAUUUUGUUAAGAAAAUUUGCAAUUUUCUUUGUACAAAAUUAAAUUACAAUUUCUUCAAAAAAAAAAAAAAAAGAUUCCUUUUAUAUAUAUAUACAUGUAUAUAUAUAUAUAUAUAUGUAUAUAUAUAUAUAUAUAUGUAUAUAUGACCUCUAUCCAGCCAGCCCAUCAAAAGGAGGUCAUCCAAACCCAAGUGGCAGCGACCAGGCCCACACCUAUGUCCAAAUCCAGCUCCAAGAAGAAGACCCAAGUCCACCAGCAACAAAUCCAGGCCCGAUCCUCUCUUGAUCCAUACACCCCUCAAGCUACAGGGCCCUGUCAUCCUCUUCAAUGCAUCAGAGAUCUGAAUUUACUUCAUUUCCUUCCCCGAUGACUCUUCCACUCCCACCAUCUCCGCCGCCCAGACCUUCGAAUGCCACUCCCAGGGCGUCUCCGAUCUCGCCUUCUCCGCUCGGCUCACCGCCAUCAAUUCGCUCCACCGCGCCGUCACCAAGCUCGCCCUCAAAUGCGACCGCAGAUCCGUCAGCGUCGGCGACGAGGCGCUUGUCCUCAUUUCUGCGAUGCCGUAACCUCACGCGCCUGAAGAUCCGCGCAUACCGUGAGUUGACCGAUGCUGGGAUGACGUCGCUCACCAAAAACUGCAAAAAGUUGAAGAAGUCCCAAGACGACGACGAGGGACGUGACGGUGACGUUUACACCCAGCGGUAGAGUAUCACGGUGCAGCUCGUGCUCUUGGUGGAUGUGCAAUCUAUGUCAAUGAUAAGCCAGGACAUCACAAUUUUGACCUUCUGAGGAAGCUGGUUCUCCCUGAUGGAUCUGUCCUCCGGGCCAAGUUACCUGGCAAGCCUACCCGUGAUUGUCUCUUCGCUGAUCCAGCAAGGGACAGGACCAGCUGGCUCAAAAUAUGGGUGUCAACAAUCUCUCUGGUGUGGUUGGUGUGUUUAAACUGUCAAGGUGCCGGUUGGUGCAAGAUUGAAAAGAAGACGCGCAUUCAUGAUUACUCUCCUGGUACCCUCAGUGGUUCUGUUCGCGCCGCUGAUGUUGAUGCCAUUGCUCAAGUUGCUGGUGCUGAUUGGAAUAGAGAAACAGUAGUAUAUGCUCAUAAGUCAGGCCUACUUGACAUAUUCAAUUCAAGUGCUGCUGUGGAUGAGGGGAAAUUGUCACCCUAUUACUACGAAGAUGCCUCUCUCACUAGGUGCCCCGAUUGCAGGCUCUGCGGUAGAUCAGAUUGAACAAGUGGUGGGCUAUGUUAGUCUAGGCUAUCAUUUCGGCAUGCUUGCCUCAAUCCUUUUUGGGAGACACCACAAAGCCGUACUACAAUCCUCAAAACCCAAGCUUUUCGUAAUGGGGACACAGGGACGGGUUUCACGAGCGUUGAAGCAGUUAAAGAACAAGCUCUAAAGCUCUGCAGCCGGUCUGUUGAAACGCACCUGAUUGAUGGAGCAAGCCACUUCCAAAUGGAAGGCCCUGCUUAUGAUGCACAGAUGGAGCUUGGUUGGUUUACUAUGUGCUUUCGGUGUCAAAUUAAGCUGCUGUCUCAACAAAUACGAGAGAAAGAGAGUCGUUAGAUCAAUCUUUACGGUUAAGUGUCAUCCGAAGCAGGAAUAUAACUGGAUAUUCCAAGUCUCAAGUAUCAUAUGUUCGUCGCUCUCAAAACGUUGAUCUUCGGAAGCAAAUCGGCCGUCUCUGGUCAUUUUGUUGCCAUUUGAACCAUCAACUGCCCAACCUUCAGCCAUUAUCGCCAUCGCCGUCUUCCUCCUCGAGCAGUACCCAAACCGAGUGGAGAUCGUGCAGCUGGACGACUCAAACGGGGAGAUCCAGUCGGACCCCAACCUGUCAUUCGAGCACCCGUACCCGCCAACCAAGACCAUCUUCAUCUCGGCCAUGAAAGCCACCACAACCUCCUCACUUCUUCUCAACUAUCAGUUGACCAUUGUAUGCUCCCCCCAAGUUGGUUCUUCCUCCACGGCUGCAGCAAAUCCAAGCUCUUCCAUGGAUCCAAGCCCUUCCGCGGCCGCCUCGUCGUCUUCCUCCCUCCAUUGAAGAAGCAGCGGCAUCGAGCACCGCCUUAGCCAGCUUCUUGUCCCCCGUCAACGCCUCCCCCGAUCGCAGCAGCAACCAUCCUUGCCGUCUCUGCCGCAACGGCCUCAGCCUUCGCCUUCCUCCUGCGUGCUCCACGAAUCUAUGGCCACCCAGUUAUCGCCGUCUUCCUCAUCGGCUGCGCUGCUGAUCCUGGACACCAACCUCUGCGCCAGAACUGUCAUCAAGGGCACCGACGACGCCAUGGCUGCUCCUUCUGCACUCUUGCUCCGCUCCCUGCAAAUUCCCCAUCCCACCAUCCUAAUUUAUACAGAAAAAAAAAAAAAAAAAGGUGGUGGUGCGUCUGGCACCACGUGAAUAAACAAGGGAUGGUGGAGUCUUUGGUGCUCUGGCACCAUGUGAAAAAAAAAAAAGGAAAUCUGGAUUGAUCUGGCACCAUACCUAAAAAAAUAAAAAAAUUAAAGAAUAAAAAAAGGGAAAGCAAGUAGGAAGGUGGGAUGGUGCGGAUUGCACCAUGUAAAUAUACAUAUACAUGUAUGUGCAUGAUAUGUAUGUAUAUAGCAAACAAAAAAAAAAAAAAAAAAAAAAAAUACAUCGAGAGAAAUAAAGUCCGUUUUUAUUUAUUUCUUUCUGGAAUUUUUUACAUAAAUUUGCAUUGUACAAAAAAAAAAUUAAAAAAAAAAAAAAAUCAAAUCAAAUCAAAUUUACAAGAGGGGAUCUUCAAGGACGAUCAUGUGCCACCUCACCACUCGGCAGAGCUCCAGAAAUGAGAAGCGCUGGAGUUUGAUUGUUUGAAGCCUCGCCACUCUGCGGAACUCCAGGAAGAAGAGGAGCCAAAAGUUGAUCAUUCGGAGCUUCACUAUGCGGUACAGCCCCAGAAGACGAAGGCAAAUGUUGUUGGAACAAACCCACAAACCUCCGAUGAUCAAGUAAAAUCUGACCAUCAGAUUCCUGCAUCUGGUCAAUUUUCCUCUUCAUGUUUGUGGCAUAGUUGUGUGCAAGCUUGUGCAACUGUUUAUUCUCAUGCUUGAGCCCUCUGAUCUCCUGUUUGAGACUCAUCACUUCAGCCGCCAACGAUUCAACUUGACGGGUUCGAGCAAAUAGGCGUUGGGCCAUGUUGGACACAGAACCCGCACACUGCACACUAAGAGCCAGGGACUCCUUAACAGCCAAACUCAUCAGACCGCCUGGAAAGUAGUCUGUUAUCUUUGGGAGUGACAAGGUUCCGGGCCACCACCGCAGCGGUCAUGUCAUUCUUCAUCACCGAAUCCCCAACAGUAAGAGGACCAGUAGGGGAUAUGAAGGAUGGGCGCCAUAUGUUAUCUGGAGAAGACGGGACUACCUCUUCACCAAGGUUCAAAUCAAAACGACGGUCGGAGGGUCCAGACAUUUUCAAAGUGUUGAAGGAAGAAGAGAUCAGACAAAUCAAGAUCUUAGAAGUACAAGAGGGGAGUUUUCACAAGCAAAAAUUCAAGUGUGCUUUGAAACGAACUGCAUGCCUCUAUAAAAAUCAUCACUCGACGGGAUUUCAGAGAUCGAAGAGGCGAGCUCAGAAUUCGAAGAGGCCAUUCAAAAAUCGAAGAGGCAAGCUCAGAAAUCGGAGAAGCAUCUUGCUUUUUCAGACGUGUCGGCACCCGUCACACGCAAACUCAGCUUUGCGGAAAUCACGGGUAAUUUGUCGAAGCGCCAAUCCCAGAUAUCGAAGAGGCGCCAGUCUUUUUCAGCCGCGUCAUCACCUGUCAUAUGCACACUCAACUUUGCGCAAAUCAUGGGCAAUUUGUCGAAGAUUUUCGGUGAAGGAGAAAGCACGUUAAGUUUACUGUUCAAUCACGCGUUAGUUGCCGACACGAGUGAAAGAAUAGUACCUCUACAGGUAUUAAGGGACCUCCUAUAACUGUCCACCUUCACCUUCCAUAGCAAGGCAGACACACAGAGUUUUUCUUCAUCUCCAAAGAUGUUUUCCCAACGAAGCCUCUCGAGUCAUUCAGUGUUCCUUAUUCCUUGGGGUACCUCUGCAAGCCAAUGACUUCAAAGCAAAAGUAUCUCAUAUCACCAGGGUAGAAAGCAAGAGUAUCUCAUAUCAUGUGUUCUCCCUGUCCUUCCCUUUGUCCUUGUUCUUACCUACAAAGACAAGGAUAAAGAAAACAAUAUGCCAGAACCUCCACUCAAACUCGGGUAAGGAACCGACUGCUUGGAGCCCUUCCCUGAUUGCCUACCUAGCACUGCUAUCGAGUACUCGUCUCCCACUGCUGCUGUACUUCCAAAGAAGCUGCCACAUCUGCCCGAGGAAUAGAUAAAGGAUACCUUGAAGCAUGUGGAGACAAGGUGCAGAAGGCACAAGCAGAGAAGAAUGCGGUAUGCACGGUCAACUCAGCAGAAGGAGUCCGAACUGAGGAACUCGAGAAGCUGCCAUAUCUGCCUGAAGAAACAAGCAGAGAAGAAUGCAGCAUGCACAGUCAACUCAGCAGAAAGAGUCUGAGACGAAGAACUCGAGAAGAUGUCGCAUCUGCCUGAGGACGGUGAACUUGUUUUGACCCUCAAAUUCUUGGGUCGACUUACUAGGCGUUGUGGGCUGCGCGUGCCGAUUCACCACCCUUGAAUCGAAUCCUUAAAGAUCAAGUCACCAACUGGAAGAAGAGUUCAUCAAUCUUGAAGAUCAUACCAUUGACCAAACUGCUCAGGUGUGAAUUAGAAAGAUUGAACAAAGAAACAGGUUGUCACAUUUACCUCGUGCCUGCUUGCCAUGUGUUCGAGUCAACCUUCAAGAAUCAAGCCUCAACGGCCCUUGAAGAAGUUUCCAGCCAACUUCAAGAUCAAGCCUCGACUGCCCUUGAUGAAAUCACAAGUCCGAUUCAAGAUCAAGUGUCUACCACUCUUGAAUCAAAACCUAGUUCAAGAAUAAGCUGUGGAAAAAUCAACAAUUGGAGGAAUCCAGAAAAUCCUUCAACCCAGUUCAAGAUCAAAGCUGUGGAAAGUCAACAAGCGCAACAAAACACGUGCCGAUUCACCCACUACCAAAGCCGAAGAUCAUCUACCACAUGAAGCUCCUUGUGGUCCAAUUUCAACCUUCAAGAUCAAGCUUCGACGGCCCCUGAAGAAAUUUCAAACAAAAAGUUCAAGAACAAGCCUCAACGGGCCUUGAAGAAAUCUCGAGCCCAAUUCAAGAUCAAGCCUCAACGGCCCUUGAAACAAUCUCCAGCCCAAUUCAAGAUCGUGCCUCGAUGGCCCGUGGAUCGACAUCUACAGUAAGGGACUUCAAAACGCAUCUCCUACACGUGACAAGCACAUGUACACGACGUGCCUUGAAGUGGGGGCAUUUUGUAGACAUCGAAAUUUCGUAAAUAAAUGUUGACCGGUAAAUCAAAGUGUCAACGCUCAUGUAUUACAUAAAUUUUACACGUAGCGUGUGAUUCAACGAAAAUUGAAAUGAGUUGGAAAAGUCAUCAAAUAGGACACGUGUCAACACCUGGCAGAAACGACUUAUUUCAUCUGGAAUAUUAUAUUUCAAAAUUAGGCCUUGGAAAUUUCUAUAAAUACAAGCCUAUUUCAUUCAUUGAAGAAAACCAAAAUCAUUAGGCAAAACUCUUGAAGCUCUGAAGCUCUGAAACUCCGAAGCUCUCAAGCAUCCAGGUUCCCGAAGAAUCAAGAAAGCGUUCUUCGUUCAUCGUUCUUCCAAGAUCAAGCCCGACGGCCCUUGGAUCAACAAUCGUCCACCUUCAAGAUCAAGCCCCGACGGCCCUUGAAGAAAGUGUUCUUCGUUCUUCGUUCUUCCAAGAUCAAGCCCCGACGGCCCUUGGAUCAACCAUCCACCAAUUCAAGAUCAAGCCCCGACGGCCCUUGAAGAAAGCACCAUCGUUCAUCAUCCGUUCAUCCAAGAUCAAGCCCCAACGGCCAUUUGGAUCAACAACGUCGACAAAUCCACACAUCCAACCGUUCUUCAAGAUCAAGCCCAAAAGCCCUUGAAGAUCUGUUCAUCACUGUUCUUCAAGAUCAAGCCCAAAAAGCCCUUGGAGAUCCGUUUGUCACUUGUUUCUUCAAAGAUCAAGCCCAAAAGCCCCUUUGAAGAUCCACUCAAAUCCACCUUCAAAGAUCAAGCCCACGGCCCUUUGAAGAAACUUCCAACAGUUCAUCCAAGAUCAAGCCUCGACGGCCCUUGGAUCAACGAAACACCCACCAAUCAACACCUUACGGAGAUCGAAUCAGAGGAUCAAAUAGAAGAGAGAUUGUAACCCAAAAUCAUCAAAUACAUAAUAUUUGUUUGUGCACGUCGUUCUUGUCUCUUUCGUUUCAGGAAUUUUCCGUGUUCACAGUAUCCACUAGUGUAAAUAUUUUAAAUUGAAAAUCGAAUUCAUUCAUUGUAUUCAUAUAGGUCAAUGAGUGUAACUGUAAAAAAUCAUGAAAAUCAGAGUUAAAAUAACCGUUAAAUCGUGAUUUUUUGUUUUAAAACCGUCGAAAAGUUUUAUCCCGUUACUUGAUCUCUGAAUGUUUGUUUUUUGCGAUUUUUUGCUGAUGCGAUCUCGAAGCAUAUACAAACAAGUUUAACGGUUGAUCGUUGAAAUUAGUUUCGUGUAUCACAUCAAGUUCAAUGGUGUGUGUGUGUAUAUAUAUAUAUAUAUUUAUUUAUUAUGUAGAUUUAAAUCUAUUUAUUUUGUACGUAUAAUUAUUAUAGUUUUUAGGGGUAUAAAAUUUAAUUUAAAACUUAAUAUAUAUAUAUAUAUAUAUAAUUAUUAUAGUUAAUAUUUUGGGGGUAUAAUUAUUAUAGUUAAUUUAAUAUAUAUAUAUAUAUAUAUAAUUAUUAUAGUUUUAAACUUUUUAGGGGUAUAAAAUUGUUAAAUUAAUAUAUAUAAUUAUUAUAGUAAUUUUUAGGGUUAAAAAAUAAUAAAAUUAAUAUUUUGCUUAUCGUGUAUCGUGUUACCCACGUGUAUACCCGAACCAACCCGUUAUCUUAACAUGUGCUUAUCGGGUUACCCGAUAACACCCGAUUCAUUAUCGUGUCGACCUAAGCACCUGUUAAUUUCGUGUCGUGUCGUGUCAGGUUAUCGGGUCGUGUCAGGAAUUGCUAGGCCUAUAGUCGUGUAAACCUUAUAUGUAUAUUCCAAUCUCUACCUAGCACGAGGCCUUUUGGAAGCUCACUGGCUUUGGGUUCCAUCGGAACUCCGAAGUUAAGCAAGUUCGCACGAGAACAAUCCCAUGAUGGGUGACCCACUGUGAAGUUCUCAUGUGAGUUCCCAGAAACAAAACUGUGAGGGCGUGCUCGGGGCCCAAAACAGAUAAUAUCGUGCUACGGUGAAGUCGAGCUCAGGAUGUGGUGGGGGCUCGGGCUGGGAUGUGACACUGGAGACUAAAUUUAGAAACUAAAUAUUGUAAACUAAAUGACAUAAAAGUUAAUGAUUUGAUUAUUAUUUAAGCGUUAAUAAAUGUGUUCAUUUUUAUUAGUUGCAUAUUAUUUGACACACCCCGACCUAAAUCAAGGCGUGCUGGAUUGUAACAUCUCAUAUCGCCCAUAGGAAUGGAUCAUGUAAGCCUUAUAUGUAUAUUCUCAUCUCUACCUAGCACGAGGUCUUUUGAGAGCUUACUGGCUUCGGGUUCUAUAAGAACUCCGAAGUUAAGUGAGUUUGUGCGAGAGCAAUCCUAUGAUGGGUGACCCAUUAGGAAGUUCUUGUGUGAGUUCUCAGAAACAAAACCGUGAGGGUAUAGUCGGGGCCCAAAGCGGACAAUAUCGUGCUACGGUGGGGUCAAGCUUGGGAUGUGGUAGGGGCCAGGCCAGGAUGUGACAAUUUGGUAUCAGAGCCAAUCCCUAGUCGGAAGUGUGCCAACGAGGACAUAGGGCCCCUAAGGGGGGUGGAUUGUAACAUCCCAUAUAGCCCAAAGGAAUGGAUCAUGUAAGCCUUAUAUGUAUAUUCUCAUCUCUAUCUAGCACGAGACAUUUUGGGAGCUUACUGGCUUCAGGUUCCAUUGGAACUCAGAAGUUAAGUGAGUUCGUGCGAGAACAAUCCCAUAAUAGGUGACCCACUAAGAAAUUCUCGUGUGAGUUCCCAAAAACAAAAUCGUGAGGGCAUGGUCGGGGCCCAAAGCGGACAAUAUCGUGCUACAGUGGAGUCGAGCUUGGGAGUGGAUCCUUUAUGCCUUAUAUGUACAUUCCCACCUCCAUAUAGCACGAGGCUUUUUGGGAGCUCAUUGGUUUCGGGUUCUAUCGGAACUCCGAAGUUAAGCUAGUUCGCGCGAAAGCAAUCUCAUGAUGGGUGACCCACUGGGAAGUUCUCGUGUGAGUUCCAAAAAACAAAACCGUGAGUGCGUGGUCGAGGCCCAAAGUAGACAAUAUCGUGCUACGGCAUAAUCGACCCUGGCCGGGAUGUGACAUUAUUUAAUUAGUAUGUAAAUUUUAUCUCCAAAUUUAGUUUCCUUAGCAUUGCUCUAAAUUAAUGAGAAAGAAGCCCAACAAGCAACCUCUGGCUCUUAUUCGUUGUCACAUUAUGCAGGCAAAAACACACAGAGAGAUGUUAAUGGGACGGCGGGAGUGAAUCAAAGUGACUUGUUUCUCCAACCCUCCGCCCCACGAACUCUCUUCUCUCCCUUUAUCGUGUUUCAAUCAGUCAGUCAGUCAGUGUUUCCUUCCCAUCAAAGUCUUCUCGACAUAUAUAUACAACCCCAAAUCCAGUACCAUAACUCUCACUGGAGCAUUACUAUUAUUACUAUUAACCGAUUACUUCCUCGAUUCCUUAUUCCGCAUGCAAAAGAUCUUUGCGAGAACUCUAAAUCAGUAGUACAAAUACAGUGAGCUUAAGGAUGUUGGACUGGGGCCCGGUUUGCGUGGCGGUGGUGCUGUUCGUUUUGUUAUCUCCGGGCUUACUGUUCCAGCUGCCCGGCCGCCAUGGCUGUGUGGAGUUUGGCAGCUUCCACACAAGUGGUGCAGCCAUCAUGGUUCACUCCCUCCUCUACUUUGGUCUCAUUUGCGUCUUCUUGUUGGCCAUCAAGGUCCAUUUUUACCUCGGUUAACUAAAACUCUUAUGUUACUCCACCUCCUUCGUUACCGAUUGAGGUAAAAAGCGACACCAUUACUGAACAAUAUGUGAUCAACUUUUGUUUCAUCAAUAUUAUUAUUGCUUCAUUUGUAACCUUCGAUUACAAUGUUGGUUUGGAUUUGAUUAUAAUUUAAUUGAUGUUGGUUUGCAUUAUUUUUGUUGUGUUUUUGGUUGUGAAAUUAAAAUAAUGGUAACGGGUGAUAUUAGGGAUACUACAUUUAAAUUAUUUCUCUAAUGAAGUAGGGGUUCACAAUGCAAGUAGGAAAUGUGGUCUACCUAACGUUUUUCAAUUGUAAAAUAUUGGAUGGUUGAAGUUUUAAUUUCGAUGUGCCUGUUUCAUACUUUUAUUUUUGUUUGACUUAGCUUUCUCUCACUAGAGAGAUUUUUCAAUGCCAGAACACGGGACGGUACGUCAUAUGUUAUUAUAUAAGUUGAGGAAAGUUUUUUUUAUUAAAUAUUCUUCACUUGUAUAAUAACAUAUAACGUAUGUGUCUGUGUUUCGGACAAACCGAAAAAUCUUUCUCAUUCAUGGUCUUGAAUAAAGCAGCCUUAAACGAAAUAGUGGAUGUGGUCCAUGUAAUACUGCAACCGGCCAGCUGAUAUUUCCAUCAACUGCAAGUAUAUAUAGCAACACACCGGAUGUUUAGUAAGAAGAAUAUAAGGUCAAUGUGAAUGCUGAGGGCCGAAGUAGAAUUUGUUCACUUAUUUGGAUGGACAGAAUUAAUCUGAACUAAGGAAUACAAGCUGAAAAUACUAAUCUACGGUCAAUGUGGUUUUAAUUAAAACGAGCGGGUCUCAAUUGUUUUAUAAUAGCCAGAAUUAAGUUUCAUCGCUUAUAGCAAACGUUUCACAAAAAUAGGUUUUAUGACUUCUGUUUUUUCAUUUUGUUGGUAUUUUUCUAAAUUAAACCCCCGUGGUGAAAAUGCAAUUGGUUUUAUUACAUUUUGCGGAACCAAUUAAAAGUGUAAUCAAAGCAGAGUUCCGUCAAAUAGAGCAUAUGUGUAAUGGACCUGUUGGUUUUGAACAUAUAAGACUUAGAUAUAUGUUCAUAUAUAGUAUGGACGCAUGGGUCACAAUGGUCCGUUGCAAAACAUAUUAAACUGGAAUUGAAUAUGGUGUCAUCGUCCAUCAAGAUUAAAUAGGGUUAAGCAGAAUGAUCAUCAAAUAACAGCUGUUUAAAGGGUUUCUCUCAUGACGUUGCUGCUUUGACAUUUGUCUAAUUAGCAUCCUCCACAAGGCACCGACCAUUCUAAUCCAAAUAUGAUGAUAAACAAUAAACAAGUUAUAAUAAAAAGUAGGGCUCUUAUUAAACAUUUUCAUAUAUAUAUAUAUAUAUAUGUAUAUAUAUAUAAGGAGGUGGCAGAAGAUUUCUUGAUCCACAAUCAACACUGAUGCUCCUUCUUUUCAACAUUGAUUCCUUUCUUCCGUUUCUUAGUUUCUAACACUCUUUGAUUCUCUUGUUUUUCUUCCCUUUUAUACCACACAGGUGAACUCUUUGUGACGGUCUCCACUUAGACACAAACAAGUAAAAAAACAGCUGGAAGAUCAUCUCAGAUAUCGUGAAGAAUGGCGGAUUGGGGGCCGGUGGUGAUAGCGGUGGUGCUGUUCGUGCUGCUGAGUCCUGGGCUGCUGUUCCAACUGCCGGGGAAGGGCAGGGUGGUGGAGUUUGGGAACAUGCAGACGAGCGGGAUAUCGAUCCUCGUCCACACCAUCAUCUUCUUCGGCCUCCUCACCAUCUUCCUCAUCGCUAUUGGUGUUCAUAUCUACACUGGAUGACCAUUACCUUAAUUUCCUUUUUAGAGAUUUGCUUAUUAUAUCUUUUAAUUUCAAUAUGCAUGUUUGGCAAUUUAUUUGAAACUUUGUUCAGAUUGUUUGUUUUGAAUUUGAGCAGUACUGUUUGAUGUUCUAAGUUUUUCCUUAUCAUCGUUAACAAAUUGGUGAGGAUGUGUUUCUUAAUGUGGGGAAAGCAUGUACCUCUCUAAACUUUUUAUUUUUUGUGUGAACGUCAUUAGUUCUUUACAUUUAAAUAGUCAUUUCUCUUUACUUAUGAAUUAUAACAUGACAUAUUAUACCACGACGCGUUGACACAUAUACAAAAUAACUCAUUAAAAUCACAAAAGAAAAAGUUUUGCACAUUUCUUAAACUGUAAUUUUCAAAACUACAGACUCAAAAGAGAUAUUAUUUUCGAUAGUUACAUGACGAAUGAAUAAAUAGUCACUUAUUUUGAAAUUUGAUAAUAAAGAUCAGAAUUAAUAACAUGUACCUCUCUAAACUUUUUAUUUUUUGUGUGAACGUCAUUAGUUCUUUACAUUUAAAUAGUCAUUUCUCUUUACUUAUGAAUUAUAACAUGACACAUUAUACCACGACGCGUUGACACAUAUACAAAAUAAUUCAUUAAAAUCAAAAAAGAAAAAGUUUUGCACAUUUCUUAAACUGUAAUUUUCAAAACUACAGACUCAAAAGAGAUAUUAUUUUCAAUAGUUACAUGACGAAUUAAUAAAUAGUCACUUAUUUUGAAAUUUGAUAAUAAAGAUCAGAAUUAAUACGUAUAUACUUCUAACGUUUUUUAUUGAUAUCAAAUUUAAAAUUGAUUGACUAUAAACUUUUAAUCACCAUGUAAUCAAGAGAAUGAAACUUUAUUCUAGCGUGUAAAGCACUAUUUGCCUCUUUCCGUGCUUGUUUUCAAGCUGAAUUGAGUCAAUUGACCCAUGCCAAUGAGAUCUAGACAAAACCAUCCCAUUGUCGGUUUUAGAACACUUGGCAGUUUGAUGUCAUUUUCCUUUGGGCUUUUGACAUUUUCACAAGCUUCCUUCGUGGUAACUUGUACACUUGUGUCGCUUCCAUUUUAAUGCACUCCUACUGACUUGUUCGCACAGUCGGACAUCGCUGCACGCUUUUCUUUUCUCCUUAAUAGUCUAUUUAAAAUUUACGGUUAUGAUUAUAGGUAACCGUUUAAAUAAAUAAAUAAUAAUAGGUAUUACCAAUGGUUAUAAAUGGGUAUUCAUUUAAUCGUUUAUUUUAAUAAAUGUAAGCUUAAAAAAUAACAUUAGUUUCUAGCUAAGUUUAGUAUCUUGAGACAUAACUGGUUAUAGAUGAGCCAUAUAUAUGUCUCACUUGAGUGUAAAAUAUAGUUGAUAUGAACGAGCCUAUGUUUAAUAUAUAUGAUUGAACAUGCUAAAACAUUAGAGUGUUUGAAAGUUUUGUAUUGGAGUAUUUUGGAGCUUUGAACCAUUUAGUAUUGAAGAUAAUGAUUAUCUUAAACCUUUAGAAGCAUGUUUUGGAAUAUUUUGGAGUUUUAAAUCAUCUAGCAUUCAAGAUAAUGAUUACCUUAAACCUUUAGAAGCAUGUUAAUGUUGGCUGACGCGUACCUAUAUAUAUUAAUUUAAUUGGCCUUAAGUUUUCAAUAAAUAAUUGACCCAAAAAUUAGAAACCGAUUAAAUGGCCUGAAUCGAUGAACAUAUCUUUCUAAAUAAAAAUCUAAAUAUUUAUCAAGUUAGCUUAUUAGCAUACUGAUACGUAGUUAUAUAUAUAUUAAUUAACCUACAACCAUGCAUGAUUCUUGUAAUAGAUUGACUAUCAAAUAAUUGGGAGACAUCACAUAUAUUCAUAAAUAAUAUCGUCAUUAAUAUGAAAAUGCGUUAAAUGCACGCUUAACGGUGUUUAAUUGUUAGAAAAAGAAAAUUAUGACAAAUUUCUUUUUUAAUUUUCAAGUUGUUAAAAAAAAUGGUAGACAAGUAAAAAAGAGUGUAAACGGAAUAAAAACAGAAAAAUGGUUACGCGUUUAUGGUUAAAUGGGUACGCAAUUAUGGGUGUGGUUAACCGUUUAUAAACGGUUAUGCAUAUGGGUAUACUCGUUUAUGCAAAUACCUAACGCGUAAACGGUUAUGUGGGUAAGAGCUUAAAUGGUUAUGGAUAAAUAACCGCGAUUAUCUGUCCUCCAUAACUGUUGCUCAUUCCUAACUGUAGCGUCCCGUAUGGUUGAUACAGUGCCAAGUAAAAAUACAUUCGUACUACAUUGCGUCAUUGACACAAAACCGCCAUUGCAACAAUACACACACGCCAUUAAAAUUUCUCUCAUCUACAUUACCGAAAAGGCUAAAACGAGAGCUGACCAAAUAAAUUCGUUAUGGGAACGAUUCGCUCCCCAUCCCGUGCCGCCUCCAUCUCCAACUGGAUGGAUUGCGUUGCGUACAUUUAAGGCGAUGCCCUUAAAUAUGCCCCCAAACACAAUUGCCAUCCCUCCCCUGCCCCCACAAAGUCACUACCAGGAACCUACCUUGUCGUUGACAAACCAAUCCCAGUGAUCGACCAAAAAUGCAACGACAAACCAGUCCCAACAUGCAAAUAUGCACCCAAAGAGACAAUGUGAAAGAUCAUCUGUUACCCCAUUUCUCACUAAGAAAAACCAGAAAACGAAUAGACGUGAGCCGAGCUAUAAACUUUUACAGAUUUGAGAACAAGAGAUAAUGAGAAGUAAAUGUACUGAACAACACAGAGAUCAGAACAACGAAGAGGCUAAGCGACAUCCGCCGCCAUCUCCUCACAACUAGGAAUUUCAUUGGAUGCAACUACAUAGAAUUAUCAUCAUCAUCAUCCUUCAACAAUUCACUAUUUUAGAAGCCAUUUCCACAUAUGCAGUAGAGUAUUAAUAAAACAUUUAUCCACUGUUCAUGCAUCAAUUACUUCAAGAAGCUAUCGAUUUAAUUUAUGGCCUCAGCUGCCUAUACAACAUUCCUUUCCCUAUAUGCAGCACCACUCUCACAAGAACAUCAUCUGUGCUGCUGCUCCGUCCUUCCGUAAGACAUUUCAACUCCCUUGAACCACCUCCUCCCUCUCCUUCACAAUAGCUUCCAUGCUGCACCAAUAGAAAAUUUAGACAGAAUUACAAACAAUCUUCCAGAGAAGUACCAACCAAGGCAGCAGAUAAUAUUUCCAGUGCAUAUAGAAUGGACGGGGAAAGAGCAGGGACGAUGACCCAAAAAACAAACAAAUGUCAAACAUGUAAUCACAGGCCUUACCUUCCCAGAAAACCUCCUUAAUUAUCAAAUAUAAAAUAAACGCCAACUAAAUAUGCUUCAUUUAUCAUUUUCUAUAUCUACAUUCAAUGUCAACAAGCCAAAACUCUUCGUGAACAGUUCUAUCUUAAUCAUGCUAAGCUAGAAUACCAAAUUAACAGAUUGGAAAUUUGGAAAACCUAAAGUAUUCCUCGGAUACCAAUAGAUAAAGCAACUCAAUUUUCUUCACGGCCUUUUCAUUUAUUCAAAGAUCAUUUUUUGAAUCAAAGAGGACAAACGAAAUUUAGAAAUUUUUCAUCAAUGAUCCUUUUACACAGAAGAGACAUUUUAUACGGUGGAUGAAGGUUGGAAAUUUGACACAACCGCGACAGCAAUCAAAGCGGAAUUUGAUAUACAGAUGAGGGGCCGAGGGUAAAGCCAAAUACUAAUGCAUAUGCAGAACACGGCUCCGUGCUCUAACAGACCAAAUGGUUUGAGACUAAAUUUCUACCGGGUUCUAUAAUCCUUCCCAAAUCACGCGAUAAUCGAAUUCCGAUCAAAGUCAGCACAUUUUAACACCAAAAUUAAAUCAACAUGUUUCCAAAUAUUACCCCCUUCUAGUUCUAAUUAAAGAAUAUAUAUAAUCUUCCAAAUCAAUAUAUUUAGCAGAUGGAAACAAAUGAUAGUAUACAAAACGAAAACCAGACAAAUUUGAUACCAAUAUUUCAGACAACAACAAUAACAACAACGAGAGACAUAACCCAUGUAAAGGAAAACAGAAGCAGAUUAUUAUUAAUCCAACAAAAGACAAAAACAAACAUUAAACGCUCAGAGCUAAAGUAAAAAAGGCAUAAAAUUUACCAGGAAUGUCCUUCCGCGGCGUCGACGGGGCGGAGGCGUAGCAAAGAAUCGACUUCCCCAAGACGGAGAGGCUCGACAGGAUCCCCGCCACGUACAACACCAUCACCAAUCCCAGCACCCACGGCAUCAAUAUGAACCCAAUGAAGAAAGUCACCGUUCCGCACAGCAUCAGAGCCAUCGAAAUCCCCAGCAUCAACGACGCGAAUCCCACCGGCGAGAUCUGCGCCGUCGACGCCGCCGGCGGCCGCCUCAACGACGACGCAGACGUAGUCGGGGGCAUCAUCACCGUGGAGUUAUCGGAGAAUUGAAUCGGCGUGGGAGGAGAUCGGAGGAGGUUGAGAACCAGAGCCGACAGCUCGUACAAAACCCUGGAUUGCUGGUCUUGUUGCUGCUGCCUCUGCAUCAUCUUUCUAUCUUAUUUUCUCGGGAAAAUUAGGAAAAUUGAGGUCUGAGGUCAACAAUUCUUAAGAACCUAAAUUCCUGAGAAAUCCAAAUCGAAAUUUCGGCGAAAUUCUGCUAUAAUCGAGGCAAUCGGAUAGAGAAGUGGGAUUGGAUUGGAGAGCGUUCUCUGUCUUCUGGACCCUUUUGUAAUAAUUUAAAAUCCAAGUGGUGAGUUUUGAGAGGCGGAAGUUUGUUUGUUUCUUUCUUCUAUCAAAAUCUCUGAGAUGGGGAGCCGGAUUUUCUUUUCUCGCCCGUUCCCUUUUAUUUCCUCGGAAAAUCGGCUGUUUGGAUUGGAAGAAAAUAACAGAGGGGGAAAGACCAAGUCAGCUUAAUGCGGAGGCCGUUUGCGCUUUUUAUCCGGAAAAAGCAAACAAUAAAAAUACAAUGGAGGUCGUUUGGGAUAGGGCGACACGUAAGAUGUGGGCACGUGGCGAAUGCGAUAUGGAUUGGAUUGGAGUGGAGUAGCAGCCAGUGAUGAGCACGUGGGACCCAGGUGACGUGGGACCUUAUCCUCUCCCCCAAACAACCGCCUUCGUAUUUUACAGCUUACUCUUCCUUCGCUUGUGCACUUUUGCUAGUUUAUAUUUUGUUCUUUACUUGUAAUUUUUAUUUUUAUUUUAAAAUAAUUUUUCAUCUUUUUAUCAGUCGACAGUUUUGUUCUAUUCCGUUGGUUUGGAAUUUCGUUAAAAUUAAAUUAUUUUACUUUAAACUUAAUUAGAAAUGUGUAAUUUUGAAAUUAGGAGUGAUUCAUUUUAUUUGCCUCGGACUUUAUAUAUAUUGUCAAUUUUAACGUAUUUUUAUAGGUGGGUAGUUUUGUUCUAUUUGUUUGAAAUUUUAUUUAAAUUAAAUUAAUUUAUUCUAAAAUCUUAAUUAGAAGUGGGUAAUUUUGAAAUUAUAAAUGAUUCACUCUUUUGUACUUCUGGUUUUGUACAUAUAGAUAUUCAGCGCACUCAUAAUUCUAAUUAUUUCUUCAGUAAAAAAUAUUGUUACAGGUAAUAUUAAAAUUGGAUUAGUUGUGGAAUUUGGUUUGAUGCGUAAAUAAAUAUGAGGUGGAUGAUGCAUAAUUAGGAGACGGUUUGCAUACUAAAAAUAAUUAGGGAGUUUUAACGAAAUACUCGCGGUACUAUCAAUUUUAAUGAAAAACCAAAUUUUUACACUAAAAAGUCAAACCUGGUACUAUUCACUUUACCCUUUAUUUUGUUUUUAUCGUUAAAACUCAAAAUUUUCAAGCCAUUUUCAUUAGUUUUCUUUAAUAAUUACAGACAAAAUAUGGUACAAGCCUUUUCUUUUGUUGUUGUUAAGAAAAUCAAAACUAAUGUCACUUAGUACUACGGUCUAGUGGUAUUCUUCUUCACUUAUAAAUGAGAAGUCUUAAGUUCGAUUCUCGCCAAAGACGAAUUUGAACCACAUUAUUAACCAAUAGUUAAAGUGUUUUGUGAGUUUUGUUUUUUUUUUUUUUUGGGAAGACAGGUGUUUUGUGAUUUUGUUGGACCAUCCUGUGAUGACUUGUCACUUUACUAUUAUUUGUGGAUUUGACUUUUAUUGGAAGUUCUUAGAGCUAGAAAAGGGCACAUAUUGGGCCCACUAAUUAUUGAGAUAAUGCUCUUUCUACCAUGGCAAAUUGGAAGACAUUAUUAUUGUUUGAAACUUCACUUUUAAUGUGAUUCAUGUGAUAUUUUAUUAUUGCACAUUUAUUUACGUUAGAUUCUUUUUUAAUAAAAUGAUUAGUUAGUGGUUUCGUUAUAACAAUUCACUCUUUUGAGAGUUAGGAAAAUUCACAGAAGUAAAAUGUUUAAAUAAAAAUUGAGAUAUUGUAUGCGUUUAUUUUGGCUGUAAAAGAAAAAAUUAUGAAUUCGCCACUAGUAUAUUUAUUUAUAAUACUUUAACCUAGAGCUAAUGAAGCUAUUGUUUAUGAGACUUGUUUAUUGAUUUUUUAGUAUAAAUUAUAUUUUUAUAUUGAAUAUAUGCAGAAGAGUUUAAACUGAAAAUACAAUAAGUUAUAUUUUUGUGUGUUGGCUUAUGAUUUUAAAAAUCUUGUAACCGAAUGGAGCCAAAUUUGGCUAAGUGCGUGGUGGUUGAAGCCAGAUCACUGAAGUUGAUCCACAAAAUUACUGAACUCCUAGAACGUGGAUGGCACAUUUGAGGUCUCAAUCCAUAUACGUGGCAUUCUAUAUGUAUAUGAAUACAUAAUAUAUAUUAACUUAUCGUAAUAGUACAUGCACGAUGCAUGAAUCUGUAAAAUUAUUGGGGUUGUCACGUUUGAAUAGACUUAAAAAAUAACAAGAAACUUGUUUUUAUGCAUUCACGUGAAAAUGUGACUUAUAUUUAUAUACAGUAUAGAUUUUUCAGAGUGUGAAAAACAAUCCGGUAUAUCAAAAACUAUAAUAUAAGUGGUUAGAUAUUGAAACAAUUUUUUUUUAACAACUUGUAAUAUAAUACUUGCUAUAACGUGUUGUGUUUUUAGCACACUUAAUUUCUCCAAGUCUAGAAUGUAGUUUAAUUAAUUACUUGAUUGUUGUCCUAAUCAGAGGGGAAAAGAGAGCCAUUUCGAGUUGCAACUAGCUCUUAAUCUAAUUGCCUAUGAGAUUAGAGCCCCUACCAACCAGCAAGAGCCUUUUUCUUUGUACAAUGCUUGCUUAAAUGGUUAAAACUCUAAAUCAACAAUUCAUUAAAACUCAUUAAACUAAUAGAUGAGUUAAAUACUUAAAUCAAUUGAUAAUAUAGACAGUAGAUUCAAAUAAUAUAUAGAGCGGAUUCAAAUAAGAAUACUCACGAGCACAGAUAUAGUUGACGGAGAAAAUUGUUGUGUAAUUUCUGAGUGAGUUUAAUUAUAUUUCCCAAAUCAUAAGCCAAACACAAAAAAAAAAAAACCUCACUACAUUUCGGAGUUCAAACUCUUCUCUCUCUUUUUAAUGUAUACAUUUAAUAUAAAAAUAUAAUUUAGAAUUAAAAUAUAAAAAUACGAAAUGUUUACAAAAUGCUUGCUCAAUGGCUUGGAGGAUCGAAUGAGAGAGAUGUAUCCAAUGUUGUUUUAUGGUUACUAAUGAAUUAGAUGGAUUAUGUAAAUUUCAAGGACGAAAUUUUAUAAGGUGGGUAGAUUGUGACAGCCCGUUCCGGAAAAUAAUUUCCGUUGACGUGAAAUUACUAGUUUACCCUUGGACGUUAAGUUGUGUGGUGUAUGACUUGUAUUUAAGUUGGAUUUAAUUAUGAUUUCCUAAGUUUUUGGAACCACCUAGGAACUAAGAAAGACUAAAUUUUGAUUGGUUGGAGAGAUUUGGUCCACACACUACACCUCACUUUCUCUCUCUCACUCCCGUGCCCUAUCUCUCAGACUCACUCUCUCUCUCCUCCUUCGUAUGGACGAGCACCAACUCACCCAUUCACACACAGAUCGAGAUCGUGCUUGGUUGCAUUGUCUUCAUCUCCUCACCACGAGCUCAUCCAUACUAGUUUCAGGUAUGAAAACCUUCGAAAACCUAGUGAACCAAGAAUAUCCGAAUUUAACAUUGUUCAUGCUAACGUAAAAAUAUGUGCUUUUGGAAAUUCUAAGCUCACAGGGAGCUUAAGGAAGUCCUUACGAAGCUCGGAGUACUUCGUUUAAAGAAAUAGGACAUCAAGAUAGCUAGUUUUGAAGUUGACCUGUUUUCUCGAAAUUCUCUUGCAAGAAUUUGUGGAUUACAGGUUCUAAAACAGGUAUAACGUUGUUCUACUCAUCUCUAGCUUUCCAUUGUUGCAAAUUUCAUAGAAAAUGGUGAAGAAUCGAGUGAGAAAAUAAGGUUUUUUGAAAUCCCCAAAUUCCGGCGACGGCGACGGUCACCAGGGAUUUAGGAAAAAGACGACAUAAUAUUCCGUCAGUCCUGACGGAAUAUUCUGACGCCGUCAGUUAAGAGUAACGAUUUCCGUUGGGUUUAAUGGAAUAUUUCAAGGAAUAUUCCUGACACUGUUUGUAGAAUCCGUCAGGAUUCCGUGCGCAUGGCGGUGCGUGCAGGGUCAAAAAAUUAUUUUAAAUUCCUGGGUGUUUGUGACGUUGUGUAGGUCACUGUGGUAUAUUUAUAUACCCAAUUUGAGUUAUGUAUGAGAAGUUAUUACAUGGUUUGGUAUAUGUGCAUUAAAGUGACGUUUAUAUAGUUGUUUCUCCUAUAGGCGAGACCUAUCCGGAGGAUGAGUGUAGCCAGGCUAGGCACGGGGGUUACGACCCAGCUACAUAUCAGUGAGUGGGCAGGUAUUUUCAGUAUAUAUAUAUAAAUAUAUAUAUAUAUAUAUACACACACACACACACUUAAUGCCAUUCAUAUGCAUUUAUAUUUCGGGUAUGAUUUGAUAUGUGGUGUUAUAUAUAUAUAUAUAUAUAUAUAUAUAUAUAUAUGUGUGGUGCUGUGGAGGCUCAAGUAAGCUCAGGUAAGUUAUGUUUGGUUAUGUGAAUUGUCGAUGAUCUGAUAUGUGAUUGAAUAACGUUGAGCUCAUAAAACUGCACCUAUGGUGAUUAUGAUUUAGCCAGAGAUAUGAUACAGGCUUGUUUAUUUAUGUCACCUCCCGCACUAUAUGCUCAUAUUAGAUCCAACUUAAGUGCACAGUCUUAUCGUACAGACCUUAUUUAUGGUUCCGACUCGUAGGUGACUAGCGAUUUAUCGCCUGGCUAUUAUGAGAGAGUAAAAUUGAGCAUAACUAUAUUACACCCAAUCUUGUCGUACAGACCUUUUUAGUGGUUCCGACUUAUGUGCAGUAUAUUUUCGUACAGGUCGUUGUAGUGACUCCGGCUAGAUUGACUUUGAGUUAUGAAUUCAGCCGUACAUACUACCACAGGGGUUCUGGCUAACAUAUCAUAUUUCUAUGAAUUUAUUCUUACCUGAAUUGCUUACUUUGUUAUAUCUUGGCAUGGCAUACAUAUGUUUAUGAUUAUGUUAAGCAUGAUUGAAAUGAUAUAAUUACAUAUAUUUAUUUAUGUAUAUUCUUAUAUCUUAAUUCUGGGAGAAACUAUACUUGUUUUACGACGAGGAGUUAGUAUAUUUAAAGGAAAAUAAGGUUUUCGUUUUACUGACCCACUCAACUUUGUUUUUCGCCCCUCCAAGUUUUAGGUAGCCGAGUUUGGUGGCCACAAGGAAUCUAACGGUGUUCUGACAGAAUCCGAAAGAGUAGGAUUCACCUUCGGGUGUUGUAUUUUAGUAAUUGUCCUACUUGACUGCAACUAGAUGUUCUUAUUGCUCUUAAAGUGUAUUUAUACACUUAGACCCUCACUAGCAUCCUUUCUUAACGGGAAUUGCUAGUUGCUUGGUUUAAAUUGUUCGUUUUUUCUUAUUCUUUAUCGCUUUCGCUUUGCGCACAAGGCUACGUCACGCUCACGUGACGGCCAACACGUCUCGACUUCGGUCAGGGUGUGUCAGUUUGGUAUCAAAGCUUAAGUUGUAGUCAUGUAUAUCUUGAGAAUUUCCUAGUGUCUUUUGUCAGAACUAUACCGCCUCGUAGAGAGCCACGUCGUUCUGAUGAGCCUAGUUUCCCCGAUAUAGCCCAGAUAGGGGAAGCUAUUGCUAGGGUCAAUCUAGUAUCCGUCCUUUCCAAAUGACUCAUCUCGAGACUGUUUUGUUUAAGUUGAAACUAAAUCAUUUUAUGAAAAAAUGAAGGACUUGAGGGAGCAGAGCGAUGGCUCAAUCAUUGGAAAAGACGUUCCGCGUUUUGCUAAGUCAAGGGAAUCUUUUUUUGGAAAGGUGCAUCAAGAUAACUACUUGGUUCUGAGUAUUGAAUCUGCAUCUUGGUAAAGACAGAGGGUUCAUCAAUUGAUGCCAGAGGAAAUUGCUGAUUGAGAAUUGUUUAAAGAGUUGUUAAGAAAAGAUUUAUUCCUCCGGUAUAUAUGAUUGGUAAGAAACAAGAGUUACAAAUUUGAGACAAGGAAAAAUGACGACGAAUGAGCAUUAUAGAAGGUUUAUUGACUUGUCUCGCUACCAUUCAGAUGUUGCUGCUAAUCCGGUUGAGAUGUUACGUCAUUUUAAGCUGAGUAAUAAGAAGAUGUGGUGUUCUUUGGCGACCACUACCCAUUGUAUUUUUUACCAGGAGUUUUACGAGAUUUUGUUGAAGAGUAAGAAAAUAUGUUCAGUGAUAGUGAUGAAGAAGAGGAAAAGAAUGGGAAUCAGAGGAAAAAUGAUAAAAGUUAAGGUCAGUCAUCUCAAAGACUUCGUAAAACCCAGAGCUUCAAAAAAAGUGGAGCUAACUCUAGUUCUUCUAGCAGAAGUUUUAGUGUUACUGGUCUGAGAAGAGGUGGUAGAUUCACUGGAGGUCCUAGAUCCCCAAAGCAGGGAUAUAUUGGUAAAGGAAAUGCACUUUGUGCCGUAGGUACAAUAAUAGACACUUUGGAGAGUGUAGACGAAGAAGCAGUGGAUGUUUUACAUGUGGACAAUGGGACAUAGAGCUGCAAAUUGUCCCUAGAAUCAGUAGAUGCCUAACAGUCUUCUUUGCCACCAUUAGUGCGGAUCUAGCAGGUUCCUGGAUCUAGUAGCUAUAGUCAGUUAAGCUGUGGUGUGCAAGGGUGAAGUAAUCAAGCUAAUAGAGGUUGUAAGGGACGACAACAAGCCAAGGACGUGUUAGUCACAUAUCACUGUAAGAUGCUCAGAAUCAUUUGGAUGUGAUCAGGGGUACGUUAAACAUUUUGGUCACUUUGCUAGAGUUCAUUGGUUGUGAAGCAUAAAUUUUAUGUUAUUGACGAUGUUGCCAAAGAAAGUAGUGAAGGAGCACGAUCGAAGCGUGCAUAUGUAUUUCCCAAUGAAGGACAAUAUGGUAAUAUUGCACCAUUGGGAAUUGUUACUUACUUAUCAAGACAACAGUGAGUUAUCAAUAUUGCGGGCUGCAGACCGUAAUAUUAAUAACUUAUUCAUUGGAUUCGUUAAGCAAGUAAGCAGGCAUGUCAUUCUAUGUUAGUAUGGUGUUUUCAGGGUGUUCAGUGAUGGUAGAAGAUGUAGUAUGUCAGUGAAUCUCAUCCCUUUAGAUAUGGUGGAUUUCGAUGUUAUCCUAGGCACAUAUCGGUUGUUGUAUGAUCGUGCCAAUAUAGAGUGCUACGGGAAAUCAGUUACUUUUCAUCGCCUUGGAUCACCCAAGGUUACUUUUGUGGAUGAGCAAAGUGGAAUGAGACAUGUCGUUAUUUCUACUGCGAGAGCAAAGAGAUUGUUAUCGAAAAGCUGCUAAGGAUACCUAACUCUUAUGGUGCUAAAUGAUGCUACUCUGGGAAGUAGUGUGGAAGAUGUAAAGGUGGUUAGACAUUUUCUUGUUGUAAUUCCGGACGAGUUACCUGGAUUGCCGCCAGAUAAAGAUGUGGAAUUCACUAUUGAUUUAUUUCCAAGUACAGAUCUUAUAUUAAAGAAUGGCUCUUGCUGAGUUAAGGGAAUUGAAAAAUUCAGUUGCAGGAAUUGGUUGAUAAUGGUUCCAUUUAACCUAGUAUGUUAUCUUGGGGAGCCCUAGUUUUAUUGUGAGAAAGAAAGACAAGACAUUAAGGCUAUGCAUUGAUUAUAGGCUAUUAAAUUGGGUAACGAUUGAAAACCGUUAUCCAAUGAUGCGCAUUGAUGAUUGUUUGAUCAGCUUAGAAGUGCAUGUGUGUUUUCAAAGAUUUAUUUGAGGGCUGGUUAUCAUCAGUUGAAGAUUAGCGGUGAGGACGUCCCUAAGACUGAUUUCAGGAAUCGUUGUGGUCUUUAUGAGUAUUUGGUGAUGCCAUUCGGAUGACGAAUGUGCCUGCUGUUUUCAUGGGUUUGAUGAAUCAAGUAUUCCAGCAAUAUCUAAACAAGUUGUUAUUGUUUUCAUGGACGAUAUUCUAGUAUACUCUAAGUUGAAAGCGGACCAUGUUCGACAUUUUAUCUUGGUAUUAAAGAAAUUAAGAGAACAUCGGUUGUAUGUCAAGUUUAGUAAAUGCCAAUGUUGGAUGAAUCAAGAUAUGUAAUAUCUGCUCAAGGUAUCCAAGUGGAUCCUUAAAAGGUAGCAGUGGUGGAGGAUUUGGAACAACCGCGAACCGUGACUAAGGUACGGAGCUUUUUAGCUUAGCAGGCUAUUAUAGAUGGUUGUUAAGGAAUUUUUCAGUCGUUGUCUUGCCAGUAACGAGAUUGAUGAGGAAGAGAUUAAGGUUGAGUGAGAUGAAAGUUGUGAGCAAAGUUAUCAGCAGCUGAAGUAUUAUCUCACUUAUACACUUGUUUUAGCACUCCCAGAUGAUGGUGAUAAUUUUGUGGUCUGCAAUUAUGCCUCAUUGAAUGGUCUUGGAUGUGUGAUGAUGCAACAUGGUAGAGUGAUUGCUUAUGCUUCACGGUAAUUGAAACCUCUUGAGAUGAAUUACCCUACUGAUGAUUUGGAAUUAGCAGCCAUUAUAUUGCCUUGAAGAUUUGGAGACAUUACCUUUAAGGUGAAAAGUGCAAGGUUUUUAUGGAUCAUAAAAGUCUCCAAUAUAUUUAUUCAAAAAGAUCUUAAUCUUCGGCAACGAAGAUGGAUGGGUUGCUUAGUGAUUAUGAUUGCACGACCAGGGUAAUCGUGUGAAUGUUGUUGCUGAUGCACUUAGUACGAAGACCCCAGUGAGAAUUAAUGCUUGAUAUGCUUGCCAUGUUUCUCUUAUUGUGGAUUUGAGAUCUACUGGAGUGAAGCUUAAGGUGAAAGAACGAGAAUAAGCUCUAUUGGCUAAUUUAUAGGUCAGGCCAAUUUUAGUGGAUUGUAUACUCGAUACCCUGAUGAUCGAUGAAGAAAUUCAAGAGUUAAUCGAGACAAGAAACGACGGGAAAAAAAAAGAUCUCAAAGUUAGAGAAUCAAAUGUCAUGCUUAUGCAAGGGAACGAGAUGUAUGUGCCUAAUGAUGUGGAAUUAAGAAAGCAAUUUUGGAUAAAGCGCAUAUUUUAGGAUAUGUAAUGCAUAGAGAUAUUAAAAAUGCAUCCUAGAGACUAAAAUGUAUCAUUUACCAUCGAAUGAUUAUUAUCAUUGUUGGGGUAUGUAGUAAGUGUACCAAUUGUCUACAAAUUAAAGCUGAAAGGAAGAAACUUUUUCAAUUGAUGCAGCCACUUCUCGUUCCAUAGUGGAGAUGGGAGAAUAUUACGAUGGAUUUCGUGUACAAGCUACCUAGUACACAAAAUGGUUACAAUGGAAAUUUGGGUGAUAGUUGAUUGACUUACUAAGUCAACGCAUUAUUUUUCAGUAAAGGAACAGUAACCUUUCCAGAAGUACAACAGUUAUUUAUAUGUUUUAUGGAAAAGAGAUUUGGGCUUACGGAUCUGUUGAACUUCUUGGGCAUAUUCACGUCAGUUGAAAGUAACAAGGCCCAUGAAAUUGUCGAAAUUUUGGAAAACAGAAGGUAUUUUGGGAGCAAAAAGGUUCAACCACGAAUGGUUUGAAAAUUUAAGGCCUGAGUUAGUGGAUUUUGAGACUCAGUAUUCAUACCUGAAAGUAAUCCAGGAGAAGUCAGGAGUCGACAGAAGAGCUUAGCAGAAAAUUUCCCUUAUUCGGUGAAUGUAAGAAAAUUAUUUGGGGCAGAAAAUUAUCUCAAAGGAGGUGUUGAAAAUAUAAGUGGAUUGUUGUCUAUGAAUGGAUGACUACCAGGUUGAGAUCUAGCCAGAUCUAAGAUACUGAAAACUGGAUGGAAGAAGAUGUAGAUUAUUCAGAAUGGAUAUGACCGACUAUUCUGUGGAAGAAUAAAUUCGUGAUUUUGAAUUUUGGAAAUCCUUUACAAUUGGACUUGACACCUGUGUGUGUCAUCCGGACUUGAGAGAAAGACUUAAAAUUGAUUCAACUUCAAAGAUCACUAUUUUUAAUCAAGGGAAAAGAGAUUUGUUAAAAUAGUCAGAAGUGGACCAAUAAUAGAGUUUCUUUGUUAAUUGAUUAGGUUCAAAUUUUUUGGGUGAUUCCUGACAAGCCUUCUGGAAAAGGUUUGAUUACUUGUAUACAUUACUUCUUGAGUUUACCCUCGUUCCACUAACUGAUCUGGUCCUUCUUGUCGUCAUUUACUUGGAAAUUAUCAUUCAAAUUCAUAAGAUUUGGACAAAUCCGACUUAGACAAAAUGACUUUUUAAGGUUGGAGAGCCUUGGAUUCCACCAUUUCUAAGAACCAGUGAACUAGAAUCUUCUCACUUGAAAAUUGCUUCCAUCUAGGACCUAAAACUCUGGAUCUCACUCUUAAUUUACGGAAGAGUCACCAUACUUCGUGUAAUAGAGUUAUCUCCUCCUCCAAGUUUUCUAAAAUCACUUCGAAGCCUACCGAAGAAAAGGAUGAAUGAGGUUGACAUAAUCGCUCUAACGGUCUUGGACUUCAAAGCUUAGUCGGUUUAACGAGUUUUUCGAAAUUUUCUCCUGCAAGAAUUCGUGGAUUACAGGUUCUAAAAUAGGUUAUAACGUUUGUUCUAACUCAUCUCUAGCUUUCCAUUGGUGCAAAUUUCAUAGAAAAAUGGUGAAGAAUGGAGUGAGAAAAUAAGGUUUUUUUUCGAAUCCCCAGAUCGAUUCCGCGCGACGACGUUCGACGUCGUCGGGAUUUAGGAAAAAGACGAUAGAUAGAAUUUCCGCGGCAUCAUCAAUCGGAAUUAUGACGAUGAUAUCGCGGGUGUCAGUUAAGAGUAACGGUUUUCAUUUGGGUUUAACGAAAUAUUCCUGACGCUGUUUGUAGAAUCCGUCAGGAUUCCCUGCGCGUGGCCGUGAGUAUUACCGUGCCUUGGCCGGCGCGUGCACGUACGGGGUCAGAAAAUUAUUUUAAAAAUUCCUGGGUGAUCAUGACGUUGUGUAGGUCACUAUGGUAUAUUCAUAUACCCAAUUUGAGCUAUGUAUGAGAAGUUAUUACAUGGUUUGGUAUAUGUGCAUUAAAGCGACGUUUAUAUAGUUGUUUCUCCUAUAGGCGAGACCUAUCUGGAGGAUGAGCGUAGCCAGGCUAGGCACGGGGGUUACGACCCAGCUACAUAUCAGUGAGUGGGCAGUUAUUUUCAGUAUAUAUAUAUAUAUAUAUAUAUAUAUAUAUAUAUACUUGAUAUUUUCCCAGAAAAAUGUGUUUAAAUGAUGAUAUGUCAUAAAUGCCAUGCAUAUGCAUUUAUAUUCCGAGUAUGAUUUGAUAUGUGGUGUUAUAUAUAUAUAUAUAUAUAUAUAUAUAUAUAUAUGUGGUGCUGUGGAGGUUCAGGUAAGCUCAGGUAAGUUAUGUUUGGUUAUGUGAAUUGUCGAUGAUGUGAUAUAUGAUUGAAUAAUGUUGAGCUCAUAAAACUGCACCUAGGGUGAUUAUGAUUUAGCCAGAGAUAUGAUACAGACCUGUUUAUUUAUGUCACCUCCCGCACUAUAUGCUUAUAUUGGAUCCAACUUAAGUGCACAGUCUUGUCGUACAAACCUUAUUUAUGGUUCCGACUCGUAGGUGACUAGCGAAUUAUCGCCCGGAUAUUAUGAGAAAGUAAAAUUGAGCAUAACUAUAUUACACCCAAUCUUGUCGUACAAACCUUUUUAGUGGUUCCGACUUAUGUGCAGUAUAUUGCCGUACAGGUCAUUGUAGUAACUCCGGCUAGAUUGACUUUGAGCUAUGAAUUCGGCCUCACAGACUACCACAGGAGUUCCGGCUAACAUAUCAUAUUUCUAUGAAUUUAUUCUUACAUGAAUUGCUUACUUUGUUAUAUCUUGGCAUGGCAUACAUAUGUUUAUGAUUAUGUUAAGCAUGAUUGAAAUGAUAUAAUUACAUAUAUUUAUUUAUGUAUAUUCUUAUAUCUUAAUUCUGGGAGAAACUAUACUUGUUUUACGGCGAGAGGUUAGUAUAUUUAAAGGAAAAUAAGGUUUUCAUGUAAAUGUGUUUUACUGACCCAUUCAACUUUAUUUUUCGCCCCUCCAGGUUUUGGUAGCCGAGUUUGGUGGCCACGAGGAAUCCAACGGUGUUCUGACAGAAUCCAAAAGAGUAGGAUUCACCUUUGGGUGUUAUAUUUUAGUAAUUAUCCUACUUGACUGCAACUAGAUGUUCUUAUUGCUCUGAAAGUGUAUUUAUACACUUAGACCCUCACUAGCAUCCUUUCUUAACGGGAAUUGCUAGUUGCUUGGUUUAAAUUGUUCGUUUUUCCUUAUUCUUUAUCGCUUCCGCUUUGCGCACAAGGCUACGUCAUACUCACGUGACGGUCAACACGUCUCGACUUCGGUCGGGGUGUGUCAACUAGUAUAUUUAUUUAUAAUACUUUAACCUAGAGCUAAUGAAGCUAUUGUUUAUGAGACUUGUUUAUUGAUUUUUUAGUAGAAAUUAUAUUUUUAUAUUGAAUAUAUGCAGCGAGAAAGAAGAGUUUAAACUGAAGACACAAUGAGUUAUAUUUUUGUGUGUUGGCUUAUGAUUUUAAAAAUCUUGUAACCAAAUGGAGCCAAAUUUGGCUAAGUGCGUGGUGGUUGAAGCUAGAUCACUGACGUUGAUCCACAAAAUUACUGAACUCCUAAAACGUGGAUGGCUUGAAGCUAGAUCACUGAAGUUGAUCCACAAAAUUACUGAACUCCUAAAACGUGGAUGGCACACUUGAGGUCUCAAUCCAUAUACGUGGCAUUCUAUAUGUAUAUGAAUACAUAAUAUAUAUUAACUUAUCGUAAUAGUACAUGCACGAUGCAUGAAUCUGUAAAAUUAUUGGGGUUGUCACCAGUGGCGAAGCCAGGAUUUCUUGGGGGAAGGGGCGAACUUAAAAGAAUGCAAGAUUAAAGAAAAAUGGCAACAACUAAAUCUUUUUAUAUAGUAAUGUCUUCCAUAAUUAAUCAAUACAAACAAAUUACAAUUGUUGCCGGCUAGGUUUCAUGUCAUGAAAACGUCGCAUAAUAGGCUCAUUAUCAAUAAAAGCAAAUACAUCUUUCUCAAUGUAAACAAGCAUGCUAUCACUCAACCAUUGAUCUUCCAUUUUGUUACGCAAUGGUGUUUUCACAAUCUUCAUAGCAGAAAAAGCUCUCUCCACCGAAGCGGUUGUAACCGGUAACACCAAAGCCAAUGUAAGAAGUUUAUACACUAACAUAUAACUUUCACACCUCCCAGUCUUCACUAACUCUUGUGCAAGAUCACUAAUUCCUCUCAAUGAUGAAAACUCACUAUGCAUCUUCAUAUCAUGAAUGUAAUUGUCAAGUUGAAUUGGAAGAUUCAUGAGGUCCAUACGAUCAAAAUCUUGAGAAUAAAGUUUGGCUAAAUGAACAAUUUUUGCUUUGUCAAAAGAUGCAAAAUUAUUCACCGGACUCAAACAAGCCAUACAAAGAAGUAACUCGGUGUUUACCUCAUUGAAGCGAUCAUUCAACUCCUUUAGUUGCAUAUCAAAAACUUGAAACUAGAGGUCCACACGAUAGUAAUGAAAGUUUGUGAUUUUUGGAGCUUUACGCCGUAAUUUUUGGAGAACUGCAACUAUACAGAUUAAAGUGAUGGGGUGAAGCAAAAACUAAUUUUCUAACUUUGACAUUCUUGCUCAUCAAGAUACCUGGAGAACAAUGGGUGUGUAGGAAUGUGUGUGAAUAUGUGCAAGUUUCCUACACAAGAUUUCUUCACCAAUGAAUUUGGACUUUCCUUAACCAUGAUUCCAAGUAUGUCUGAUUAUUUUGGUUAUAUUGUGCCCAAAAACUGGGAUUUAAGGCUGAAAUUCUUGUAUAAUUUGAUGCAACACAUUCCAAGUGGAUAGCACUUUCUGAAUUGGCUGCAGAUUUUGAAGAUAGGAGUUGUGAAUUGGUGUAUGGCAAAGUUCCACCGCCGUUUGAAGAGGACCCAGUCUCUAAAGAGCCAUGUUUUACUGAUAUAUGUAAGUUUGUACAACUUCUAUAUUUAUUUGAUCAAUGGAGAAUGGAGAUAUAUUAUCCUGAUUUCCACCAUGCGUUUAUCUGCAGGUUCCAUUGCAAAUCCCAGCUCCAGUGUUAGUCCCCCACCCCAAUAUAUAUAUAUUUUUUUAAAUUCAACUAUCAAAACGGCGCCGUUUUGAUUUAGCUUUUUAAAAUUUUUUUUACCAGGUCCAAAACGGCGUCGUUUUGGCCUGGUUUAAAAAAAAAAAAAAUUAGAAUGCAAUCUGCACUACAGAUUGCCCAGAAAAAACAGAGGGCUCUGCCUCUGCGUGACCGUUUUGGCCUGGUUUAAAAAAAAAUAAAAAAUUAGAAUGCAAUAUGCACUGCAGAUUGCCCAGAAAAAACAGAGGGCUCUGCCUCUGCGUGAACCAUUAUUUUCCGGCGAGGCGCGCGAGGGGAGUGGCGAAGACCUGGAGUCCAGUGGUGUUUCCCGGCGAGGGGAGUGGCGGCCGCCACUGGUUGUCACGUUUGAAUAGACUUAAAAAAUAACAAGAAACUUGUAUUUAUGCAUUCACGUGAAAAAUGUGACUUAUAUUUAUAUACAGUAUAGAUUUUUCAGUGUGUGGAAAACAAUCUGGUACAUAAAAAACUAUAAUAUAAGUGGUUAGAUAUUGAAACAAAUUUUUUUUAACAACUUGUAUUAUAAUACUUGAUAUAACGUGUUGUGUUUUUAGCACACUUAAUUUCUCCAAGUCUAGAAUGUAGCUUAAUUAAUUACUUGGUUGUUGUCCUAAUCAGAGGGGAAAGGAGAGCCAUUUCGAGUUGCAACUAGCUCUUAAUCUAAUUGCCUAUGAGAUUAGAGCCCCUACCAACCAGCAAGGGCCUUUUUCUUUGUACAAUGCUUGCUUAAAUGGUUAAAACUCUAAAUCAACAAUUCAUUAAAACUCAUUAAACUAAUAGAUGAAUUAAAUACUUAAAUCAAUUGAUAAUAUAGAGAGUAGAUUCAAAUAAUAUAUAGAGUGGAUUCAAAUAAGAAUACUCACGAGCACAGAUAUAGUUGACGGAGAAAAUUGUUAUGUAAUUUCUGAGUGAGUUUGAUUAUAUUUCCCAAAUCAUAAGCCAAACAAAAAAAAAAAAAAAACCUCACUACAUUUCUGAGUUCAAACUCUUCUAUCUCUUUUUAAUGUAUACAUUUAAUAUAAAAAUAUAAUUUAGAAUUAAAUGUAUAAAAAUACGAAAUGUUUACAAAAUGCUUGGAAAGAAAUUGAGAUAUGGUAUGCAGAUAACGUACAUACUUUAUUUUGGUAUUAGAAGAAAAAUUUAUAAAUUGGCCACUAAUAUUUACUCAUAAUACUUUAUCAUGGAGCUAAUGAAACUACUUGUAAGGUUUACUUAUUUUUCGUAUUUACUUUUUAGUAUAAAUCCUAAUUUUUUAUAUUAAAUGUGCACACGAAAGGGAGAUGAUAAUUUUUUUUUUUUGAACAAAUGAUAUUACCUACAUUAAAAUAAUGAGGGGGUGAAUUUAGCCUUACGACGGACUAGUAAUAAUGUGGUUUAACUUUUUCUUUGAUAAGAAUCGAACUUGAUACCUUUCAUUUAUAAGUGAAAAUAAAUAUUACUAGACCGAUAUUUGAAUUCGGGGUGAGUUAUUAUUUUUGUGUGUUUGGCUUAUGAUCUGAGAAAUCUAGUAUACCAAAUGGUGCCAAAUUUGGGUUGCGUGUUAGUUGAAGGCAGAUCAUUGAAGUUGAUCCACAAAAUUAUUAAACUCUUAAAAAUUGGAUGCCAUUGUUGAGGUCUCAAUCCCAUACACGUGGCAUUUCAUAUCCCCCAAAGAUUCUAUAUGUAAUUGAAUAUAUAAAAUACAUAAUAAUAAUAUAUAUAACCGGCAGUGGUUGCCUAAUGUUGCUUGUUCUCAUUCGAUAGUAGAAUGUGCACAAUACAUGAAUCUGUGAAAUCAUUCGGGUUGUCACGUUUGAAUACAUUUUAAACAAAACAAAAAAAAGAAAAAGAAGCUUGUUUGAAUGGGUUCACAUGAUUAGGGUGCGAUGGCAAAAGUUUCAGUUAGACAAAUGUUAAUAGAACGAGAUCAUUUAUGUAAUAAUUCAAUUAUUAAUUUUCAUGCUAUUUUGUUUACAAAUUUAAUUUUCUUAGUAUUUUUUCUUUCUCAAAAGUGAGCAUCUCUAUUAAUUUUCUGCCAUCGCAUAUUUUUAGUAAAAUAACUCCGCCUGUGUAAGUUUAUCUUACAUUGCCGAUCCUAAGCCCGGAUAAAGGAGAAGGGGGAGGGCGUCAGGUAGUCGACAUCCGGCACUCCUAGGUUACGUCGAAUCCUUAUGAAAAUGAAUCCAGAAGGAGUACGAGUAGCAUAUAUCCAAGCUAUAAAGGAUAUGUAUGAUGGAGUAAAGACUGCCGUAAGAACUCAUGAAGGACAAACCGAAAGCUUCCCCAUAACUGUAGGAUUACAUCAAGGCUCAUCCUUAAGUCCUUACCUCUUUGCGUUGGUAAUGGAUGAGUUAACAGGACAUAUUCAAGAUGAUAUUUCUUGGUGUAUGCUUUUCGCAGACGAUAUAGUGUUGAUAGAUGAAACUCAGGAAAGAGUAAAUGCGAAGCUUAACCUUUGGAGAUAAGUGUUGGAAUAUAAAGGUCUUCGCCUAAGCCGAUCAAAGACAGAAUAUAUGGAGUGUAAGUUCAGUGCAAAUGGAGGCCAAAAUGAGUUAGAGGUGAAAAUCGGAGAUCAGGAGAUACCAAAGAGCGACUGCUUUCGCUACCUAGGAUCUAUCUUGCAAAAGAACGGAGAAUUAGAUGGAGAUCUAAACCAUAGAAUACAAGCUGGAUGGAUGAAGUGGAAGAGUGCAUCCGGCGUGUUGUGUAACCGUCGUAUGCCACUUAAGCUCAAGGGAAAAUUUUAUAGGACGACAAUAAGGUCGGCGAUGCUGUAUGGCACAGAAUGUUGGGCGGUAAAGCAUCAACACAUAUAUAAAAUGGGUGUAGCGGAGAUGAGGAUGCUUCGUUGGAUGUGUGGGCACACGAGAAAGGAUAAGAUUAGGAAUGAGGAUAUCCGAGGUAAAGUAGGAGUAGCCGAAAUUGAAGGAAAACUGAGAGAAAAUUGGUUACGAUGGUUUUGACAUAUGCAAAGAAUGUCUACUGAUGCUCCGGUUAGAAGAUGUGACUACAGAACAGAGGUUUAAGGCCGAAGGGGUAGAGGAAGACCUAGGAAAACUUUGGAAGAGACUCUAAGAAAAGACUUAGAGUACUUGGAUCUAACGGAGGACAUGACACGGGACCGAGUGUAAUGGCGUUCUAGUAUUCAUAUAGCCGACCCCACUUAGUGGGAAAAUAAUUUGUUGUUGUUGUUGUUGUUUGCAUAUUUUUAGUAAAAUAUUUUCUAAUAUUGGUACAUAAAUUAACGUUAAAUUGUAAGAUGACAGAAAAUUCAUAUAGCAUCCCAAGUUAUAAGAUUCUUCUUAGCAUUUAUCUUGUAGUUUAACUAACUUUGAUUGUUGCCCUAGUUAGAGGGGAAAGAGAGCCAUUUCGAGUCGCAAUCUAGCGCUUAAUCUAAUUGCCUAGAAGAUUAGACCACCUACCAACUAGGUACAUGCCCUUUUCUUUGGUCAAGACUCAAAACGAGAACUAGUACAAUGCUUGCUUAAAUUAGUAAACUCAAGUAAAAAAUUCAAUGAAACUAAUAGAUUUAUUAAA
Molecule: long non-coding RNA, 40275 nt
Filed under: Malus domestica (apple)
Lineage: Eukaryota; Viridiplantae; Streptophyta; Magnoliopsida; Rosales; Rosaceae
Source: RNAcentral